GACGAACGCUGGCGGUGUGCUUAACACAUGCAAGUCGAACGGUAAGGCCCUUUCGGGGGUACACGAGUGGCGAACGGGUGAGUAACACGUGAGUAACCUGCCCUCAUCUCUGGGAUAACAGUCGGAAACGGUUGCUAAUACUGGAUAUGAGCUUGCAAGGCAUCUUGUGGGUUGGAAAGAUUUUUUUGGUUGGGGAUGGACUCGCGGCCUAUCAGCUUGUUGGUGAGGUAGUGGCUCACCAAGGCUUCGACGGGUAGCCGGCCUGAGAGGGCGACCGGCCACAUUGGGACUGAGAUACGGCCCAAACUCCUACGGGAGGCAGCAGUGGGGAAUAUUGCACAAUGGACGGAAGUCUGAUGCAGCAACGCCGCGUGCGGGAUGACGGCCUUCGGGUUGUAAACCGCUUUCAAUUGUGACGAAGCUUUUUGUGACGGUAGCAGUAGAAGAAGCACCGGCUACCUACGUG
RNAcentral lists this ribosomal RNA (466 nucleotides) under uncultured bacterium. Its description in RNAcentral is "partial 16S ribosomal RNA". It matches the Rfam family "Bacterial small subunit ribosomal RNA", at positions 28 to 507 of the family's 1533-position model. The record is from RNAcentral.